Cyanistes caeruleus (blue tit) is the source of this 1634-nucleotide long non-coding RNA. Lineage: Eukaryota; Metazoa; Chordata; Aves; Passeriformes; Paridae. The record is from Ensembl.
AUUUUUUCCCUGUCCUCCUAGAAAUGACACUGGGAUGGACAGAGCUGCUCCAGAGGCUGCAGGGCACAUUAAAGGAUGUAACUGGGAGCAAUCGUUCAUUAGCAGUGGAGACAUACUGGAAAUCGAGAAAAUCCUGGGUCUGCAUUGUAUUUCCUGAUAAAUUCAAAUUUCCCUGCCACCGUGAUGGAAAGCAAGCUGAGAUUUGAUGAAUGAAAUUGAGACUCACUGUGAAACAGAGCAACAGCUUUGAAGAGCUGCCAGAUUUCAGCAAAGGUGAGAAUCCAUCCCUCACAGAGCAGGAGACAGGCUGAGCAGCAGAGCCAUUUGAUAGAUGUUAAAAGACAAACCACCAAAAGGCAAAUAUGCCUUUGGAAAACAGUAUUAAGUAAUAUUUUAAAGAAUGGCCACACAUCAUAUUCACACAGAUGCCAACAGGAAGCCCAGCUCAGGAAAAGAAAAGCUUUCAGGACUCGGGCUGAAGACAAGGAUUGCUCUUGAAGUAACUGUAAAAUGCAAUGACCUUGUGGGAGCCCACCUCGAUGAGGCUGGAUAUUUGACUGAUGUACCACUCAAGUCAUUUUCACAGAGCUUGGGAGGAAUUUCAGCUGCAAGAAAUUCUCUGCUUGAGCUUUAGUUUCUUUAUCUCAAGCAUGCUGCUGCAGAGCUCUAAAAGUGGGAAGGGGGCAAGGGCUCGUUUGUGGAGCUGGAAGAUUGGGUGGGCAUAUCCAGGUGGUUUUGCCCUCCAAUUCAUUGUACCUAAAUGCACCUGUCUCUAAUUCUCUGUGUAAUCAUGAAGAUGUUUCUCAGCUGGUGAGCUCAGGUGUGCUGGGGCUGCAGUGGAGCAGGUCUGAACACAAGGCAGAAUUUAGUCAGUUUUUGUGCUGAGGAGACAACCAAAGCUCCAGGGAUGGCACUUUGAAGGCCUUUUCCUCCUUAUUCCAGGGUACUGCCUUGAUGGAGCUGCAUCUGUCUUGGUGAGAAAUUUUCUGUGGGGGAGGUGGGGGGGUCGUGGCUGAGGUUCUGGUGUGGGUGGGUGACAGUGCACUCAGGGAAUGUGUUAUAGGUGCUUCAGUGUUGUAUUUUGGGGCCUCUAGGAAACGGAUGGGAAGGCAGAGUUGCUGCCUCAGAAAUUCCAGGUCAAAAUAGACUAAGACAUGACAAAGUAUAAGGGCAAGGUGUUCUAUUAUGCAUUAUAUAAGGCCAAGAGAAGACUCUGAGAGCUUAUUUAAACUUAAAAUCAGAGAGGGGCAAAUCUACAAGACCCUGUCGAUAUCAGAUUGGAGUGUAUGCAUGCUUUUAGAGCAACCACAAACAUGUUUCUCCCUUGUAAGGCUCAUUAUCCUAAUAUAGAAAGCUCCUGGAGAUAAGGCUGUGUCGGGCAUACGGUAGAGCCUAUGCUCCAGGCACAGGGAGUAAGUGUUGAGGCAAGAAAUGACUUUUUCCUGGCAUGACCCACUAAGAUUGAACUGGAAUGGCAAUUAGAAGUUGAAGUGCUCAUUUAAUGUCAGUGAUGUGUAAACUACGUUGCCAUUGUUAUUUUAGUGCUUAUUUACAUAAUUGGCAUACCCUGAAGUCACACUGCACGAACUUUCAGUUCAUGCUAAAGACUUGCAGGAAGUCAUAAAAUUAAACAU